This 445-nucleotide ribosomal RNA is filed under the name uncultured bacterium. RNAcentral's name for it is "bacterial SSU rRNA". It matches the Rfam family "Bacterial small subunit ribosomal RNA", at positions 331 to 793 of the family's 1533-position model. The record is from RNAcentral.
CCAGACUCCUACGGGAGGCAGCAGUGGGGGAUAUUGGACAAUGGGGGGAACCCUGAUCCAGCGAUGCCGCGUGAGGGAAGAAGGUUUUCGGAUUGUAAACCUCUGUGGACAGGGACGAUAAUGACGGUACCUGUCAAGAAAGCCACGGCUAACUACGUGCCAGCAGCCGCGGUAAUACGUAGGGGGCAAGCGUUAUCCGGAUUUACUGGGUGUAAAGGGAGCGUAGACGGCAGGGCAAGCCAGAAGUGAAAACGCAGAGCUUAACUUUGCGACUGCUUUUGGAACUGCCCAGCUAGAGUACAGGAGAGGUAAGUGGAAUUCCUAGUGUAGCGGUGAAAUGCGUAGAUAUUAGGAGGAACACUAGUGGCGAAGGCGGCUUACUGGACUGAGACUGACGUUGAGGCUCGAAAGCGUGGGGAGCAAACAGGAUUAGAUACCCCGGUAA